This 301-nucleotide ribosomal RNA is filed under the name uncultured bacterium. RNAcentral's name for it is "partial 16S ribosomal RNA". It matches the Rfam family "Bacterial small subunit ribosomal RNA", at positions 509 to 809 of the family's 1533-position model. The record is from RNAcentral.
CAGUAGCCGCGGGAAAACGUAGGUGGCAAGCGUUGUCCGGAAUUAUUGGGCGUAAAGGGCUCGCAGGCGGUUUCUUAAGUCUGAUGUGAAAGCCCCCGGCUCAACCGGGGAGGGUCAUUGGAAACUGGGAAACUUGAGUGCAGAAGAGGAGAGUGGAAUUCCACGUGUAGCGGUGAAAUGCGUAGAGAUGUGGAGGAACACCAGUGGCGAAGGCGACUCUCUGGUCUGUAACUGACGCUGAGGAGCGAAAGCGUGGGGAGCGAACAGGAUUAGAUACCCCCGUAGUCCCUGUCUCUUAUAA